This 1513-nucleotide ribosomal RNA is filed under the name Lachnospiraceae bacterium. RNAcentral's name for it is "bacterial LSU rRNA". It matches the Rfam family "Bacterial large subunit ribosomal RNA", at positions 707 to 2236 of the family's 2925-position model. The record is from RNAcentral. Lineage: Bacteria; Bacillati; Bacillota; Clostridia; Lachnospirales; Lachnospiraceae.
CAAUAGACCCGAAACCGGGUGACCUACCCAUGGUCAGGAUGAAGUUACCGUAAAAGGUAAUGGAGGUCCGAACUCACAUCUGUUGAAAAAGGUGGAGAUGAACUGUGGGUAGCGGAGAAAUUCCAAUCGAACCCGGAGAUAGCUGGUUCUCCUCGAAAUAGCUUUAGGGCUAGCGUGGAUAGGAGUCUAAUGGAGGUAAAGCACUGAAUUGCCUAGGGGGCCCACAAGCUUACCGAAGCAUAUCAAACUCAGAAUGCCAUAAAGAUACCAUCUGCAGUCAGACUAUGAGUGAUAAGACCCAUGGUCAAAAGGAAAACAGUCCAGACCAUCAGCUAAGGUCCCCAAGUGUGUGUUAAGUGGAAAAGGAUGUGAGAUUUCGAAGACAACUAGGAUGUUGGCUUAGAAGCAGCCAUUCAUUCAAAGAGUGCGUAAUAGCUCACUAGUCGAGAGAUCUUGCGCCGAAAAUGUCCGGGGCUCAAACACACCACCGAAGCUAUGGAAUACAUCUUAAAGAUGGAUUGGUAGAGGAGCGUUGCAAGUGCGCCGAAGCAGUACCGUGAGGAGCUGUGGAGCGCUUGCAAGUGAGAAUGCCGGAAUGAGUAGCGAGAUACAAGUGAGAAUCUUGUAGGCCGAAUAUCCAAGGUUUCCAGAGUAAAGCUGAUCUGCUCUGGGUAAGUCGGGACCUAAGGCGAGGACGAAAGUCGUAGUCGAUGGACAACUGGUUCAAAUUCCAGUACCACCUAUUAUCAGAACUGCAGGGACGCAGGAGGAUAAGGAAUCCAGGGAAUGGUAUCUCUGGGCAAGCACAAAGUCGCAUCUGGUAGGUAAAUCCGCCAGACGAGGAUGAAGUGUGAUGCGGAUCGAAAUUUAAGUAGAGAAGUUCCUGAAUCCACACUGCCGAGAAAAGCUGCUAUUGCGUGAUAGGUGCCCGUACCGUAAACCGACACAGGUGGAUGAGGAGAGAAUCCUAAGGCCGACGGGAGAAGCGUUGUUAAGGAACUCGGCAAAAUGACCCCGUAACUUAGGGAGAAGGGGUGCCAGCUUCGGCUGGCCGCAGAGAAUAGGCCCAAGCAACUGUUUAACAAAAACACAGGUCUUUGCUAAACCGAAAGGUGAUGUAUAAGGGCUGACGCCUGCCCGGUGCUGGAAGGUUAAGGGGAGAGGUUAGUCGUAAGGCGAAGCUUUGAACUUAAGCCCCAGUAAACGGCGGCCGUAACUAUAACGGUCCUAAGGUAGCGAAAUUCCUUGUCAGGUAAGUUCUGACCCGCACGAAAGGCGUAAUGAUUUGGGCACUGUCUCGACAGCGCACCCGGUGAAAUUGUAGUACCAGUGAAGAUGCUGGUUACCCGCGACAGGACGGAAAGACCCCGUGGAGCUUUACUGUAGCUUGAUACUGAGGUUGGGUAUUACAUGUACAGGAUAGGAGGGAGACUUUGAAGCCAGGACGCCAGUCUUGGUGGAGUCAAUGGUGGGAUACCUCUCUUGUAAUACUUAACUUCUAACCUGAGGCCAU